Molecule: ribosomal RNA, 626 nt
Filed under: Salmonella enterica
Lineage: Bacteria; Pseudomonadati; Pseudomonadota; Gammaproteobacteria; Enterobacterales; Enterobacteriaceae
Description: partial 23S ribosomal RNA
Rfam family: Bacterial large subunit ribosomal RNA
Source: RNAcentral
GGAGGCUUUGAAGUGUGGACGCCAGUCUGCAUGGAGCCGACCUUGAAAUACCACCCUUUAAUGUUUGAUGUUCUAACGUGGACCCGUGAUCCGGGUUGCGGACAGUGUCUGGUGGGUAGUUUGACUGGGGCGGUCUCCUCCUAAAGAGUAACGGAGGAGCACGAAGGUUGGCUAAUCCUGGUCGGACAUCAGGAGGUUAGUGCAAUGGCAUAAGCCAGCUUGACUGCGAGCGUGACGGCGCGAGCAGGUGCGAAAGCAGGUCAUAGUGAUCCGGUGGUUCUGAAUGGAAGGGCCAUCGCUCAACGGAUAAAAGGUACUCCGGGGAUAACAGGCUGAUACCGCCCAAGAGUUCAUAUCGACGGCGGUGUUUGGCACCUCGAUGUCGGCUCAUCACAUCCUGGGGCUGAAGUAGGUCCCAAGGGUAUGGCUGUUCGCCAUUUAAAGUGGUACGCGAGCUGGGUUUAGAACGUCGUGAGACAGUUCGGUCCCUAUCUGCCGUGGGCGCUGGAGAACUGAGGGGGGCUGCUCCUAGUACGAGAGGACCGGAGUGGACGCAUCACUGGUGUUCGGGUUGUCAUGCCAAUGGCACUGCCCGGUAGCUAAAUGCGGAAGAGAUAAGUGCUGAA